This is a long non-coding RNA of Culex quinquefasciatus (southern house mosquito), 886 nucleotides long. RefSeq lists it as uncharacterized. Lineage: Eukaryota; Metazoa; Arthropoda; Insecta; Diptera; Culicidae. The record is from RefSeq and is a predicted model, not a curated record. The transcript is spliced from 2 exons.
UCCCAUGUAAAGGAUCUCAAUUUUGUUGACAUUGGCCAAAUCUGAAAGUAUGAAAAGCAUGUAAAUGUAUUUUUGAUGUAAAAUGUUGUAAAUGUAAACUCAAACAACAUUUAAAUUGAAAUUGCUACCUUAUUAUGGAAUGACAGCUCAAGCGGAUGGCAAAAACAAAUCAGUGCAAUGUUAUGAUUGUUUUGUGCGCAUGAAACUGAAGCUUUUAAACUGUUUGUAGCUGAUUCCGCUGGUGCAUGGUGAAGGAAAGGUCACAACAUUUUAUGCCGGAAGGCGGAAGUCAAAGGGAACUUGUUUGUUUACGUUUUAAGAUCAUUUGGGGUCGUCUUUGGCAUGGCUUGGCGGUGGAGAUGUUGAAAGUGAUUGAGUGCGGAAGAUGCCGGUGUAAACAACAAGAAUCAGCAUCAAAACAGAUUUUUAGGCAGGGCCUCUAGCGUCAGCAGCGGAAAUUGGUUUCCAAACGGGAAGAUGCCUGGAGCUGGGGGGACGACGGGUAGUUGUUCUUCAGAAUUACCUUGUAUAUGUUCACCUUUCUAAAGAUGUUCUUUACCCAGCUGGAGGCGGUCAGGCCGGACAGCAGUUCGAAGACGAGCUGGGCAAACAAGGAGUCCUUGUCAAACUUCUGGUGGAUCUAUCUUGGUACAGUUCGUAUUUGGUCUGGAUUUUCCAGACAGCGAGGGUCACUCGUAGGUUAGGACAAAGAUCGAUGCUUUGAACAAGCUUCCGGGCUCGGUCCGGUCAACGAUCGAACCCUACAACCUGAAACUCGGUCUCGCCAGCUUUAGUUAUCGGUGUAGCGGAAUCUUAGUUCUUCAGUGUUGGUCGUACUGGUUCUUCACCAACUGAAACAACGCGAGAAACUUUCAAGAACUUCACG